UAGCAGACCUUCAGUUGUGGCAGCGUCCUAAUUAAAAGUACACAACGCAGAAUGAACCACGCGACACUAGCAGUCAUUUUCAUGAAUCAAGACGACCUUCUGGCAAAUACUUUUCAAUCCUUAUCAUAUGAAGAGAAAUUAUAGAUAAUAAUAGGAGAUCACUGACGUCAUCAUGAUUCAACCUUGUUUUUUCCCCCAGUUGUCUUGAAAGCACCAUAAAUCCAGAGACUUUGAUGACAAAGUUUGACGACAAAAUUUGCUCACAAAGGACUGCCGCGCAACCUUGCUGUUCUAGUGAACACAGCGCAACAAGGUGCAGUCCUGGGGGACCCCCAUUUUAUAACAUUUGACGGCGUGAAGUACACCUUCAAUGGGAAAGGAGAAUACUGCUGGGUUGACUCCCCAGGCAGAGGGCUGAGAAUUCAGGGCCAGACAGAGCAGGUGAAACUAGAGAACGGUACCUUAGCCAAGGCUAAUAGUCCAUCGGCUGUGACUAUAAGAGAGAAUACCUCUGUCAAAGAGGUGCACCAGGCAGAGCAGCAGGAUCAUCUGGAGGUGUUUAGGAACCAGCAAAUCCCCUCCUUCACAGAACAGUGAUGAAUGGACCUACAUGGUGUUUUCUGUACUCUCCGACACCGCAGAACAUGACCGUCAUGUUCUCUUCAGGGGUGGAGGUAGAUGUGCAGGGGCGAGAGGUGCCACCAUGGCCCUUACCGUGCUGCUCCCCCAGACUACACCAACCUCACCCAGAGGCUGCUGGAACAGAUUAAGUCUGACCCUUCAGAUGACCUGCUGACCAGCCUGGGAGAGGUCGUCUCCCCUGACAACCCCGGCACUGAGGGGAUAUUCUCAUUCGGAGCUGGCUGUGAGUCCAUGGGCCUCUCUCUGCAUUGAAACUAACAGUGCAUCUCAGUUAUCCAAAGCUCUUUCUCAAUUGCCCAAAACAAAUUCAGUAACACUUCUUACUUUAUGGGGUUAUUAAUAAGACAUUUUAUAAAAUCAAUCAUAGCAACUUUGAGUGUUGCAGUGUCAUUCAAACCAACCUUCAUAACAUUUGUUUUCAAUUGUUUUCUUUCAUUGCAUAGACAGGAACAAAAUUGUCAAAUGGUUAUGAAAAGGAUUACAAAAUGAAAGUAACAUGCAGUGUAAAAAAAAAAGUAGUUUCAACUAAUUAUUAUUAAGUAACUGGUUCCACAGUCUUUUUUUUGUUUACUCAACUUUUGUCUUACCUGAACAAACAAAAAAAUAUGUUGGCCCAAAUAUUCUGCCCUCGCAAAAGAGUCCCCUUUUUAAGCAUAGCAGAUAGAUAAACCUGGUACUGCUACUGUAAUGUUGAAGGUUGAUUUAUUGCCACUGCUUCGUAGGUACAGUAAUAGUGACUGAAGUGAGUAAAACUGAAAUGUAUAAAGAAAAGAACAAUGAGUAUGACUUAUUGAAUGCUUGCCGACUACUAGGCUUAAUUCAUGCAAAUAUUCUUGUUAGCCACUUGAGUAGCUGUACAAGAGUCUUAUGGCUUGGGGAU
Molecule: long non-coding RNA, 1522 nt
Organism: Oncorhynchus gorbuscha (pink salmon)
Lineage: Eukaryota; Metazoa; Chordata; Actinopteri; Salmoniformes; Salmonidae
Exons: 4
Source: RefSeq, a predicted model, not a curated record